This 259-nucleotide ribosomal RNA is filed under the name uncultured bacterium. RNAcentral's name for it is "partial small subunit ribosomal RNA". It matches the Rfam family "Bacterial small subunit ribosomal RNA", at positions 26 to 285 of the family's 1533-position model. The record is from RNAcentral.
AGAAUCAACGCUGGCGGCGUGCCUAACACAUGCAAGUCGAACGAGAAAGUGGAGCAAUCCAUGAGUAAAGUGGCGACCGGGUGAGUAACACGUGACUAACCUACCUUCGAGUGGGGGAUAACCUCGGGAAACCGGGGCUAAUACCGCAUAACAUCCUUGGAGUGGAAACUCUGGGGAUCAAAGGAGCAAUUCGCUGGAAGAGGGGGUCGCGGCUGAUUAGCUAGUUGGCGGGUAAUGGCCCACAAGGCUUUGAUCGGUA